AGGGAAUCUUCGGCAAUGGACGGAAGUCUGACCGAGCAACGCCGCGUGAGUGAAGAAGGUUUUCGGAUCGUAAAGCUCUGUUGUAAGAGAAGAACGAGUGUGAGAGUGGAAAGUUCACACUGUGACGGUAACUUACCAGAAAGGGACGGCUAACUACGUGCCAGCAGCCGCGGUAAUACGUAGGUCCCGAGCGUUAUCCGGAUUUAUUGGGCGUAAAGCGAGCGCAGGCGGUUAGAUAAGUCUGAAGUUAAAGGCUGUGGCUUAACCAUAGUACGCUUUGGAAACUGUUUAACUUGAGUGCAGAAGGGGAGAGUGGAAUUCCAUGUGUAGCGGUGAAGUGCGUAGAUAUAUGGAGGAACACCGGUGGCGAAAGCGGCUCUCUGGUCUGUAACUGACGCUGAGGCUCGAAAGCGUGGGGAGCAAACAGGAUUAGAUACCCUGGUAGUCCACGCCGUAAACGAUGAGUGCUAGGUGUUGGGUCCUUUCCGGGACUCAGUGCCGCAGCUAACGCAUUAAGCACUCCGCCUGGGGAGUACGACCGCAAGGUUG
This 549-nucleotide ribosomal RNA is filed under the name uncultured bacterium. RNAcentral's name for it is "bacterial SSU rRNA". It matches the Rfam family "Bacterial small subunit ribosomal RNA", at positions 356 to 896 of the family's 1533-position model. The record is from RNAcentral.